GACGAACGCUGGCGGCGUGCUUAACACAUGCAAGUCGAACGGAAAGGCCCUGCUUUUGUGGGGUGCUCGAGUGGCGAACGGGUGAGUAACACGUGAGUAACCUGCCCUUGACUUUGGGAUAACUUCAGGAAACUGGGGCUAAUACCGGAUAGGAGCUCCUGCUGCAUGGUGGGGGUUGGAAAGUUUCGGCGGUUGGGGAUGGACUCGCGGCUUAUCAGCUUGUUGGUGGGGUAGUGGCUUACCAAGGCUUUGACGGGUAGCCGGCCUGAGAGGGUGACCGGCCACAGUGGGACUGAGAUACGGCCCAGACUCCUACGGGAGGCAGCAGUGGGGAAUAUUGCACAAUGGGCGGAAGCCUGAUGCAGCAACGCCGCGUGCGGGAUGUCGGCCUUCGGGUUGUAAACCGCUUUCGCCUGGGACGAAGCGUGAGUGACGGUAAUGGGUAAAGAAGCACCGGCUAACUACGUG
This 468-nucleotide ribosomal RNA is filed under the name uncultured bacterium. RNAcentral's name for it is "partial 16S ribosomal RNA". It matches the Rfam family "Bacterial small subunit ribosomal RNA", at positions 28 to 507 of the family's 1533-position model. The record is from RNAcentral.